AACGAACGCUGGCGGCAUGCCUAACACAUGCAAGUCGGACGAAACCUUCGGGUCUAGUGGCGCACGGGUGCGUAACGCGUGGGAAUCUGCCCUUGGGUUCGGAAUAACAGUUGGAAACGACUGCUAAUACCGGAUGAUGACGUAAGUCCAAAGAUUUAUCGCACAAGGAUGAGCGCGCGUAGGAUUAGCUAGUUGGUGAGGUAAAGGCUCACCAAGGCGACGAUCCUUAGCUGGUCAGAGAGGAUGAUCAGCCACACUGGGACUGAGACACGGCCCAGACUCCUACGGGAAGCAGCAGUGGGGAAUAGUGGACAAUGGGCGAAGGCCUGAUCCAGCAAUGCCGCGUGAGUGAUGAAGGCCUGAGGGUUGUAAAGCUCUUUUAACCGGGAUGAUAAUGACAGUACCGGGAGAAUAAGCUCCGGCUAACUCCGUG
This 433-nucleotide ribosomal RNA is filed under the name uncultured bacterium. RNAcentral describes it as "partial 16S ribosomal RNA". It matches the Rfam family "Bacterial small subunit ribosomal RNA", at positions 29 to 507 of the family's 1533-position model. The record is from RNAcentral.